Molecule: microRNA, 23 nt
Filed under: Heliconius melpomene (postman butterfly)
Lineage: Eukaryota; Metazoa; Arthropoda; Insecta; Lepidoptera; Nymphalidae
Description: Hme-Novel-2_5p* (star (passenger))
Source: RNAcentral
UCGCUGUUCCCGUUAUUUGCGUU